Molecule: long non-coding RNA, 2013 nt
Organism: Carya illinoinensis
Lineage: Eukaryota; Viridiplantae; Streptophyta; Magnoliopsida; Fagales; Juglandaceae
Exons: 2
Source: RefSeq, a predicted model, not a curated record
ACAAAUUUUGUUAAUUACUAGUAGUUUAAUUGUAUAGUAAUGUUUAUAUAGUUUUUACUUACAGGUCUUGUGACACAGUGAGCCCGGGAAAUUUCUCAUUGGCUUCCUGUUACUAUUUCCCUGUUUACAUUUUUGCUUUGAAAAUAAAAUAUUAAAAAAAAACUUAUGAAAAAAAUAUAUAUAUAUAUAAUUUUUGAUGGAUUAGGAUUUUAGGACAAAUGGUCUGUGCGAUACACAAUGAAAUAGGCUAAAAAUUGUUUCAAGAUCUUCUAAAAGUCAUGAAUGUUGUAGUGGAAAAAUGCGAACCAUUUAGAUAAAGUUAAUAUUAAGAAUUUUAAGAACGUUGGGAAUAUCAUUUUAUCUUUAAACCUAAUGACUGAUUUCCAACAAAGACCUAUGAGUAUAUAAAAGUUAUUCUCUUUCAGUUGGGCUGCUGUACAUGAAAAACCUUCCACUGAUCUUUGUUUUACUGUUCCCUGAAACAUUUGACAUUCUUGUCUGACUAAUAUGCAAUUAAUAUAUUAAAUUAAGAUGGAAAAUUAUCACCCAUUCAGUUGCCUUUCUUAUUUGAAAUGUCUGUUUGGGUUGGAAAUCUGAUAUUAUUGCUAUCGCAGCCUUCCAGUUUGAAAAUCACAAUGUGUUAGAAUGCCUUCCUUUAAUAAGUACAAUGUGUUUGAAUAACUAAUCAUAUCUUUUUUUAGUUUCCUUUUGGAGAAGUUAUCCUUGUGGUGUAACUCAAAUUUUCUGUGACGUGCAAUUUAUUCCCUGAAAAGCAAGGUCCUGUACACCUGUGUUCCAAUAUAUGUAAUAACCUGGUGUCUAGUUACCUUGAAAAGAGGUUUCUUUGCUCCUUUGUGCUUGUUAAUAAAUAUCUUCUUACAUUUUUUUUUUUAAAAGAACAGGGGUUUCUUAAUCAUGCAAACAUGCAUUAAUAUGUAGGAGACAGUGUUUUAUGUAGCACCCCUGUUGAGGUGCGAAUAGACUUUCCUCACUUGGGUUCUAUAAGGGGUGCUUGCAUUUGUGAACUGAUUGGAUUUUCUAUGUUAUAGCUUAUCUGCCCAUAUUACAAGGUGAUUUGGAGAGAAAGCCUAAGCCACAUCUUGAACAUGCUCGAAAGGAAGUAGUCAAUGCUACAAUUGAAGCUCUAUUGGAAUCAUUAUAAAGAGCAAGAGCUUAUCUCUCCCAAGCAGUGUGGGGGUCCCAUACACCAUCUAGACAUUAAUUCGUACAAGGUAUCACAAUUUCCUCCUCUUAAAUUCCCAACAUCUUUGAUGGGCAAUUCCAUCGUAGGUGGCACGACUCAAGUCCUAUUUUUCUGAAUGGGAUAGACUCUGAUACCAUUUGUAAUGCCACAAUGGAAGGCCCAAACUAUAUCUGGGCUUUACUCCAAAAGGACUAGUCAAUGGUAUAAUUGGAGGCCCAUUGUAAUUAUUAUAAAGAGUAUCUCUCUCCCAAGCAAUGUGGAAUCCCAUACACCACUUGCACUCAUUAAUUAGUAUGGGUCAUAUCAUUUCUCCUCUAAUUAUUUAUGGUGAGGGGGAUGAGCGUGGGUGGAUACUUGCUAAAUGGAAGAGAUGAAAAUUUGUUGCUGUCUUGACUGCUGGUUUUCCACAGUUCUUAUCAUGUUGUGGAUAUGAGCCUUAUUGGUGGAUAAAGCAUGAUUUGAUAAUUUAUAUGACUAUAUGAAGAGGCUAUGAAUGGUUGGCUUAAUUCCAUCUAUCAUGCUCAUAGCAUCCAUGUCAGUUUUGGGGACAUGAAUAGUUUAUUUUGGUUGCUAUUAGCCCCUGGGUAAUAGUUCUUCCAGCUGUGAAUAUAUUGACUCUUGUGGUUAAUCUCAAUCAGUUGUGCUUGUUAUAAGCUUUUUUUAGUUAUUUAUUUAUUUUACCAUUUCUGAUAUCAUGCAUUGCUUAGUGAUAUGAACUAUCCAUUUAUGUGAUAUGUCCGUCUUGGAAGACCCCUUUCUGGGAACUCUGGUGAGAGUCCAUCUUAUAUGGAUAUUGAAGGGUCAAAAUC